Molecule: ribosomal RNA, 745 nt
Filed under: uncultured bacterium
Lineage: Bacteria
Description: bacterial SSU rRNA
Rfam family: Bacterial small subunit ribosomal RNA
Source: RNAcentral
ACGCUGGCGGCAGGCCUAACACAUGCAAGUCGAGCGGUAGAGAGAAGCUUGCUUCUCUUGAGAGCGGCGGACGGGUGAGUAAUGCCUAGGAAUCUGCCUGGUAGUGGGGGAUAACGUCCGGAAACGGACGCUAAUACCGCAUACGUCCUACGGGAGAAAGCAGGGGACCUUCGGGCCUUGCGCUAUCAGAUGAGCCUAGGUCGGAUUAGCUAGUUGGUGGGGUAAUGGCUCACCAAGGCGACGAUCCGUAACUGGUCUGAGAGGAUGAUCAGUCACACUGGAACUGAGACACGGUCCAGACUCCUACGGGAGGCAGCAGUGGGGAAUAUUGGACAAUGGGCGAAAGCCUGAUCCAGCCAUGCCGCGUGUGUGAAGAAGGUCUUCGGAUUGUAAAGCACUUUAAGUGGGGAGGAAGGGCAGUUACCUAAUACGUGAUUGUUUUGACGUUACCGACAGAAUAAGCACCGGCUAACUCUGUGCCAGCAGCCGCGGUAAUACAGAGGGUGCAAGCGUUAAUCGGAAUUACUGGGCGUAAAGCGCGCGUAGGUGGUUCGUUAAGUUGGAUGUGAAAUCCCCGGGCUCAACCUGGGAACUGCAUUCAAAACUGACGAGCUAGAGUAUGGUAGAGGGUGGUGGAAUUUCCUGUGUAGCGGUGAAAUGCGUAGAUAUAGGAAGGAACACCAGUGGCGAAGGCGACCACCUGGACUGAUACUGACACUGAGGUGCGAAAGCGUGGGGAGCAAAC